CGACGUGAGCAAUCUGCCUUUAAGAGGGGGAUAACAGUCGGAAACGGCUGCUAAUACCGCAUAAAGCAUCAAAUUCGCAUGUUUUUUGAUGCCAAAGGAGCAAUCCGCUUUUAGAUGAGCUCGCGUCUGAUUAGCUGGUUGGCGGGGUAACGGCCCACCAAGGCGACGAUCAGUAGCCGGACUGAGAGGUUGAACGGCCACAUUGGGACUGAGACACGGCCCAG
This 224-nucleotide ribosomal RNA is filed under the name uncultured bacterium. Its description in RNAcentral is "partial 16S ribosomal RNA". It matches the Rfam family "Bacterial small subunit ribosomal RNA", at positions 113 to 334 of the family's 1533-position model. The record is from RNAcentral.